Long non-coding RNA from Ctenocephalides felis (cat flea), 213 nucleotides. RefSeq lists it as uncharacterized. NCBI's taxonomy places the organism in Eukaryota, Metazoa, Arthropoda, Insecta, Siphonaptera, Pulicidae. The record is from RefSeq and is a predicted model, not a curated record. The transcript has 3 exons.
UGGAACCAGAACAAGUACCAAGUCCUGAAAUUCGUGUUGCUGAUAUCAGGCCUUUGAACCACACUAGGUAUAACAUUCGACAAAUGGAAUUGAGGACGUCAGAAAUCAGGACUGAUACAGAUUGUCCUGAUGGAACUACUGAUGUUACUUCUUCAAAUAAUGAUGAUUCUUCAACAGUUCUCCCAGACUUCUCAAUGAUUCCUCAACUCAGAC